GACGAACGCUGGCGGCGUGCUUAACACAUGCAAGUCGAACGGAAAGGCCCUGCUUUUGUGGGGUGCUCGAGUGGCGAACGGGUGAGUAACACGUGAGUAACCUGCCCUUGACUUUGGGAUAACUUCAGGAAACUGGGGCUAAUACCGGAUAGGAGCUCCUGCUGCAUGGUGGGGGUUGGAAAGUUUCGGCGGUUGGGGAUGGACUCGCGGCUUAUCAGCUUGUUGGUGGGGUAGUGGCUUACCAAGGCUUUGACGGGUAGCCGGCCUGAGAGGGUGACCGGCCACAUUAGGACGGAGAUGCGGCCCAGACUCCUACGGGAGGCAGCAGUGGGGAAUAUUGCACAAUGGGCGGAAGCCUGAUGCAGCAACGCCGCGUGGGGGAUAACGGCCUUCGGGUUGUAAACCGCUUUCGCCUGUGACGAAGCGUGAGUGACGGUAAUGGGUAAAGAAGCACCGGCUAACUACGUG
RNAcentral lists this ribosomal RNA (468 nucleotides) under uncultured bacterium. RNAcentral's name for it is "partial 16S ribosomal RNA". It matches the Rfam family "Bacterial small subunit ribosomal RNA", at positions 28 to 507 of the family's 1533-position model. The record is from RNAcentral.